AUGGUAAAACCCAAAAGAGCAGGGGGAAUAGGCUUUCAUGAUAUGCACAUAUUUAACCAAGCCCUCCUCGCAAGACAAGGGUGGCGACUCCUCCAAAGACUGGAUAGCCUUUGUGCGAGAGUCCUAAAGUCGAAAUACUACCCUAAGGGAAAGUUGUUGGAUACUGUGUUUGCCUCUGAUGCUUCACAAGCAUGGAGGGGCAUCGAACAUGGGCUCAAACUUCUGGAAAAAAGGCUUGAUAUGGAGAGUGGGAAAUGUAAAACACAUCCAGAUCCAAAUGGAUUAGUGGGUUCCUAG
Molecule: ribosomal RNA, 297 nt
Filed under: Triticum aestivum (bread wheat)
Lineage: Eukaryota; Viridiplantae; Streptophyta; Magnoliopsida; Poales; Poaceae
Description: partial small subunit ribosomal RNA
Source: RNAcentral